RNAcentral lists this ribosomal RNA (458 nucleotides) under uncultured bacterium. RNAcentral's name for it is "partial 16S ribosomal RNA". It matches the Rfam family "Bacterial small subunit ribosomal RNA", at positions 338 to 795 of the family's 1533-position model. The record is from RNAcentral.
CCUACGGGUGGCAGCAGUGAGGAAUAUUGGUCAAUGGGCGAGAGCCUGAACCAGCCAAGUCGCGUGAGGGAGUACUGCCCUAUGGGUUGUAAACCUCUUUUGUCGGGGAGCAAAAGCCGGACGUGUCCGGCUGUGAGAGUACCCGAAGAAAAAGCAUCGGCUAACUCCGUGCCAGCAGCCGCGGUAAUACGGAGGAUGCGAGCGUUAUCCGGAUUUAUUGGGUUUAAAGGGUGCGCAGGCGGAUUUUUAAGUCAGCGGUAAAAUCGUGGGGCUCAACCCCAUCCAGCCGUUGAAACUGGGGAUCUAGAGUGUGCGAGAGGUAUGCGGAAUGCGUGGUGUAGCGGUGAAAUGCAUAGAUAUCACGCAGAACGCCGAUUGCGAAGGCAGCAUACCGGUGCACAACUGACGCUCAGGCACGAAAGCGUGGGUAUCGAACAGGAUUAGAUACCCUGGUAGUC